This 684-nucleotide ribosomal RNA is filed under the name Bensingtonia sp. PYCC 5551. RNAcentral describes it as "eukaryotic LSU rRNA". The stretch from base 256 to 410 matches the Rfam family "5.8S ribosomal RNA". The record is from RNAcentral. Lineage: Eukaryota; Fungi; Basidiomycota; Agaricostilbomycetes; Agaricostilbales; Kondoaceae.
UCCGUAGGUGAACCUGCGGAAGGAUCAUUAGUGAAACAUAAGAGUGCUCUUCAUUGAGGCUCGUUUUAACUAUCCAAACCACUUUGUGCAUUUGAAACAACACAUAACCAUAUUCUCUCUGUUGACGUUUUGAUUGAGAUUCAAUGGCUUCGGUCACUCUUUCGGAAUUGAAUGGUUUGAAUUGGUUAUAAACACAUAACCCCAUUGCUUUAAAUAAGAGAUGAUGAUGUAACAUAACCAUGAAAUUGAAAGUACAACUUUCAGCAACGGAUUUCUUGGCUCUCGCAUCGAUGAAGAACGCAGCGAAAUGCGAUACGUAAUGUGAAUUGCAGAACUCAGUGAAUCAUCGAAUUUUUGAACGCACCUUGCGCUCUCUAGUUAUUCUGGAGAGCAUGCUUGUUUGAGUGUCGCGAACCUCUCAACCCCGUCAAGGGCUUAAUUGCCUUUGAUUGCUUGGGCUUGGAUCAUGGUCUUUGCCGUUACCUUUCGGGGUUUGGGCUAGACUGAAAUGUAACAAGUUGAAUCAAAUCGGUAACAGCUUGACCUGAUGUUGUAAUCUACUCAUCGGGGAUGUUGCCAUUGAAAGGACUUUAAUAGAACCCCUUAUCGUACUUCGCGUACAAUUUAUGACCUCAAAUCAAGUAGGACUACCCGCUGAACUUAAGCAUAUCAAUAAGCGGAGGA